RNAcentral lists this ribosomal RNA (664 nucleotides) under uncultured bacterium. RNAcentral's name for it is "bacterial SSU rRNA". It matches the Rfam family "Bacterial small subunit ribosomal RNA", at positions 127 to 789 of the family's 1533-position model. The record is from RNAcentral.
UGCCCGGAGCAGGGGGAUAAGCGGAAGAAAUUCCGUCUAAUACCGCGUAAUGAGGCGGGGAGGCAUCUCCCCGCUUCCAAAGAUUUAUCGGCUCCGGAUGGUCAUGCGGCGCAUUAGCUGGUUGGCGGGGUAACGGCCCACCAAGGCGACGAUGCGUAGGGGUUCUGAGAGGAAGGCCCCCCACACUGGUACUGAGACACGGACCAGACUCCUACGGGAGGCAGCAGUGAGGAAUAUUGGUCAAUGGCCGGGAGGCUGAACCAGCCAAGUCGCGUGAGGGAUGACGGCCCUACGGGUUGUAAACCUCUUUUGCCGGGGAGCAAGAACCGCCUCGCGCAGGCGGACUGAGAGUACCCGGAGAAAAAGCAUCGGCUAACUCCGUGCCAGCAGCCGCGGUAAUACGGAGGAUGCGAGCGUUAUCCGGAUUCAUUGGGUUUAAAGGGUGCGCAGGCGGGCGGUCAAGUCAGCGGUAAAAUCGUGGGGCCCAACCCCAUCCCGCCGUUGAAACUGGCCGUCUUGAGUGGGCGAGAAGUAUGCGGAAUGCGUGGUGUAGCGGUGAAAUGCAUAGAUAUCACGCAGAACUCCGAUUGCGAAGGCAGCAUACCGGCGCCCGACUGACGCUCAUGCACGNAAGCGUGGGUAUCGAACAGGAUUAGAUACCCUG